Molecule: transfer RNA, 72 nt
Filed under: Ipomoea nil (Japanese morning glory)
Lineage: Eukaryota; Viridiplantae; Streptophyta; Magnoliopsida; Solanales; Convolvulaceae
Rfam family: tRNA
About the family: Transfer RNA (tRNA) molecules are approximately 80 nucleotides in length. Their secondary structure includes four short double-helical elements and three loops (D, anti-codon, and T loops).
Source: Rfam by way of RNAcentral
AUCAAAGUAGCGCAGUAGAAGCGUGGUGGGCCCAUAACCCAAAGGUCCCAGAAUCAAAACCUGACUUUGAUA